RNAcentral lists this ribosomal RNA (326 nucleotides) under uncultured bacterium. RNAcentral's name for it is "bacterial SSU rRNA". It matches the Rfam family "Bacterial small subunit ribosomal RNA", at positions 28 to 334 of the family's 1533-position model. The record is from RNAcentral.
GACGAACGCUGGCGGCGUGCUUAACACAUGCAAGUCGAACGAGGAUUAGGGAGCUUGCUCCCUAAAGCCGAGUGGCGGACUGGUGAGUAACACGUGACCAACCUAUCUCGCGGAGAGGGACAACCCGAGGAAACUUGGGCUAAUACCGCAUAAUGUCCGAACCUCGCAUGGGGUUCAGACCAAAGGGGGCCUCUGCUUGCAAGCUCCCACCGUGAGAGGGGGUCGCGACGUAUCAGCUUGUUGGUGAGGUAACGGCUCACCAAGGCUACGACGCGUAGCGGGUCUGAGAGGACGACCCGCCACAUUGGGACUGAGAUACGGCCCAG